CCUACGGAGGCUGCAGUGGGGAAUAUUGGACAAUGGGGGGAACCCUGAUCCAGCGACGCCGCGUGAGUGAAGAAGUAUUUCGGUAUGUAAAGCUCUAUCAGCAGGGAAGAAAAUGACGGUACCUGACUAAGAAGCCCCGGCUACCUACGUGCCAGCAGCCGCGGUAAUACGUAGGGGGCAAGCGUUAUCCGGAUUUACUGGGUGUAAAGGGAGCGUAGACGGUGCAGCAAGUCUGAUGUGAAAGGUGGGGGCCCAACCCCGGGACUGCAUUGGAAACUGUUGAACUGGAGUACAGGAGAGGUAAGCGGAAUUCCUAGUGUAGCGGUGAAAUGCGUAGAUAUUAGGAGGAACACCAGUGGCGAAGGCGGCUUACUGGACUGUAACUGACGUUGAGGCUCGAAAGCGUGGGGAGCAAACAGGAUUAGAUACCCUAGUAGUC
Molecule: ribosomal RNA, 439 nt
Filed under: uncultured bacterium
Lineage: Bacteria
Description: partial 16S ribosomal RNA
Rfam family: Bacterial small subunit ribosomal RNA
Source: RNAcentral